RNAcentral lists this ribosomal RNA (694 nucleotides) under Pristimantis albujai. RNAcentral's name for it is "partial large subunit ribosomal RNA". It matches the Rfam family "Bacterial large subunit ribosomal RNA", at positions 844 to 2070 of the family's 2925-position model. The record is from RNAcentral. Lineage: Eukaryota; Metazoa; Chordata; Amphibia; Anura; Strabomantidae.
GAUAGCUGGUUUCUCGAGAAAAGGAUUUUAGUCCGACCUAAAGUUAACCCGACCUCAACUAAAUGGCCUCCCCUUUAGAGUAAUUCAAGUGAGGUACAGCCCACUUGACUCAGGAUACAACCUUCACUAACGGGUAACGUUUAACUAACAUCUUUAAGUAGGCCUAACAGCAGCCACCUUUCAAAAAGCGUCAAAGCUUAACCCUUUUAUCUUAAUUUAAAAACUUACACCAACCCCUCUAACUGUAUCGAGAGCUUCUAUAAUUUUAUAGAACCCUUUAUGCUAAAACUAAUAACAAGAGAUAAACCCCCCCCCUCUCCUAAUGCAAGCAUAAGCCAUCAAGAACCCAUCACUGGCAACUAACAUAACCCUAAUAGGUAGAAACUUCCACUAGAGAACCCUACCCACUUCCCCGUUAACCUAACACCAGAGCAUUUCAAGAAAGAUUAAAAGGGAGAAAAGGAACUCGGCAAACUUUAACCCCGCCUGUUUACCAAAAACAUCGCCUCUCGACCCUAUGAGAGGUCUAGCCUGCCCAGUGACUCUGUUCAACGGCCGCGGUAUUCUAACCGUGCAAAGGUAGCGUAAUCACUUGUCUUCUAAAUAAGGACCAGUAUGAAAGGCACCACGAGGAUUAAGCUGUCUCCUCUCCCUAAUCAGUGAACCUAAUCUCCCCGUGAAGAAGCGGGGAUCC